Molecule: long non-coding RNA, 462 nt
Organism: Pan troglodytes (chimpanzee)
Lineage: Eukaryota; Metazoa; Chordata; Mammalia; Primates; Hominidae
Exons: 2
Source: RefSeq, a predicted model, not a curated record
AUAGGCAGGUCAGGUCCCAAACCCCAAUGUAAUAUAGGCUCCCUCUUUCACACUCUGUCAAUGGCACAAAGCCCUAUUGUUAAUACAGUUCUCUACUCACACUCAAGAUAAGAGUAAACAACACUGUCCUUCGACUACACAACUUUCUUCCUCUACAUACAUCUGCUCUUUCUGACAGCUUUCCUCCAGGCGUCUCAUCACAGCAAUACUGAAAGGGACUGUGGCAAGCCAGUUUUGGGACCCGUCCUCCAGGAUUCCAGAAAGCCCUUUCCUAAGAAGUCAGCUCCCGGGUAAAUUUCAGAAUUGGUACUCUGAUUGAAGAGGUGAUUUUGGCACUGGAAUAGAAUAUGGCUGCAGGGAAAGAGGCAAACUCCCUCUCUGAUUGAGAAACUGCAACCCCCUCAAACUGUUUUCUUUAAGGUACAAAAUAUACACGAGGCACAGCAGGUGCACAAAUCUGAA